This 423-nucleotide ribosomal RNA is filed under the name uncultured archaeon. RNAcentral's name for it is "partial 16S ribosomal RNA". It matches the Rfam family "Archaeal small subunit ribosomal RNA", at positions 323 to 746 of the family's 1478-position model. The record is from RNAcentral.
CUACGGGGUGCUGCAGGUGCGAAAACUUUACAAUACACGAAAGUGUGAUAAGGGAAUUCCAAGUGCUUUGUCUUCGGAUAAAGCUUUUAUUAAGUUUAAAAAUCUUAAUGAAUAAGUGGUGGGUAAUACUGGUGCCAGCCGCCGCGGUAACACCAGAGCCACUAGUGGUGACCAUGUUUAUUGGGCCUAAAGCGUUCGUAGCCGGUUUAAUAAAUCUUCUGUGAAAUUGUUUAGCUUAACUUAACAACUUGCAGAAGACACUAUUAAACUUGAAACCAGUAAGAGACAAAGGUAUUCUUAGGGGAGCGGUAAGAUGUUAUAAUCCUAAGAGGACCACCUGUGGCGAAGGCGUUUGUCUAGGAUGGGUUUGACGGUGAGGAACGAAAGCUGGGAGAACGAUCCGGAUUAGAUACCCUUGUAGUC